GCUAUGACCGUCCACUGAACCUUAUCAUUUAGAGGAAGGAGAAGUCGUAACAAGGUUUCCGUAGGUGAACCUGCGGAAGGAUCAUUG
RNAcentral lists this ribosomal RNA (87 nucleotides) under Pleiomeris canariensis. RNAcentral describes it as "partial 18S ribosomal RNA". It matches the Rfam family "Eukaryotic small subunit ribosomal RNA", at positions 1745 to 1831 of the family's 1831-position model. RNAcentral also lists the same sequence under 1 other name. The record is from RNAcentral. Lineage: Eukaryota; Viridiplantae; Streptophyta; Magnoliopsida; Ericales; Primulaceae.